This 1466-nucleotide ribosomal RNA is filed under the name Klebsiella sp. Its description in RNAcentral is "bacterial SSU rRNA". It matches the Rfam family "Bacterial small subunit ribosomal RNA". Lineage: Bacteria; Pseudomonadati; Pseudomonadota; Gammaproteobacteria; Enterobacterales; Enterobacteriaceae. The record is from RNAcentral.
CAGAUUGAACGCUGGCGGCAGGCCUAACACAUGCAAGUCGAGCGGUAACACAGAGAGCUUGCUCUCGGGUGACGAGCGGCGGACGGGUGAGUAAUGUCUGGGAAACUGCCUGAUGGAGGGGGAUAACUACUGGAAACGGUAGCUAAUACCGCAUAACGUCGCAAGACCAAAGUGGGGGACCUUCGGGCCUCAUGCCAUCAGAUGUGCCCAGAUGGGAUUAGCUAGUAGGUGGGGUAAUGGCUCACCUAGGCGACGAUCCCUAGCUGGUCUGAGAGGAUGACCAGCCACACUGGAACUGAGACACGGUCCAGACUCCUACGGGAGGCAGCAGUGGGGAAUAUUGCACAAUGGGCGCAAGCCUGAUGCAGCCAUGCCGCGUGUAUGAAGAAGGCCUUCGGGUUGUAAAGUACUUUCAGCGAGGAGGAAGGCGUUAAGGUUAAUAACCUUAGCGAUUGACGUUACUCGCAGAAGAAGCACCGGCUAACUCCGUGCCAGCAGCCGCGGUAAUACGGAGGGUGCAAGCGUUAAUCGGAAUUACUGGGCGUAAAGCGCACGCAGGCGGUCUGUCAAGUCGGAUGUGAAAUCCCCGGGCUCAACCUGGGAACUGCAUUCGAAACUGGCAGGCUAGAGUCUUGUAGAGGGGGGUAGAAUUCCAGGUGUAGCGGUGAAAUGCGUAGAGAUCUGGAGGAAUACCGGUGGCGAAGGCGGCCCCCUGGACAAAGACUGACGCUCAGGUGCGAAAGCGUGGGGAGCAAACAGGAUUAGAUACCCUGGUAGUCCACGCCGUAAACGAUGUCGACUUGGAGGUUGUGCCCUUGAGGCGUGGCUUCCGGAGCUAACGCGUUAAGUCGACCGCCUGGGGAGUACGGCCGCAAGGUUAAAACUCAAAUGAAUUGACGGGGGCCCGCACAAGCGGUGGAGCAUGUGGUUUAAUUCGAUGCAACGCGAAGAACCUUACCUACUCUUGACAUCCAGAGAACUUAGCAGAGAUGCUUUGGUGCCUUCGGGAACUCUGAGACAGGUGCUGCAUGGCUGUCGUCAGCUCGUGUUGUGAAAUGUUGGGUUAAGUCCCGCAACGAGCGCAACCCUUAUCCUUUGUUGCCAGCGGUUCGGCCGGGAACUCAAAGGAGACUGCCAGUGAUAAACUGGAGGAAGGUGGGGAUGACGUCAAGUCAUCAUGGCCCUUACGAGUAGGGCUACACACGUGCUACAAUGGCAUAUACAAAGAGAAGCGACCUCGCGAGAGCAAGCGGACCUCAUAAAGUAUGUCGUAGUCCGGAUUGGAGUCUGCAACUCGACUCCAUGAAGUCGGAAUCGCUAGUAAUCGUAGAUCAGAAUGCUACGGUGAAUACGUUCCCGGGCCUUGUACACACCGCCCGUCACACCAUGGGAGUGGGUUGCAAAAGAAGUAGGUAGCUUAACCUUCGGGAGGGCGCUUACCACUUUGUGAUUCAUGACUGGGGUGA